UGGGGAAUUUUGGACAAUGGGCGAAAGCCUGAUCCAGCAAUGCCGCGUGUGUGAAGAAGGCCUUCGGGUUGUAAAGCACUUUUGUCCGGAAAGAAAUCCUCUGGGUUAAUACCUCGGGGGGAUGACGGUACCGGAAGAAUAAGCACCGGCUAACUACGUGCCAGCAGCCGCGGUAAUACGUAGGGUGCAAGCGUUAAUCGGAAUUACUGGGCGUAAAGCGUGCGCAGGCGGUUUUGUAAGACGGAUGUGAAAUCCCCGGGCUUAACCUGGGAACUGCAUUCGUGACUGCAAGGCUAGAGUAUGGCAGAGGGGGGUAGAAUUCCACGUGUAGCAGUGAAAUGCGUAGAGAUGUGGAGGAAUACCGAUGGCGAAGGCGCCGCCUGGGCCAAUACUGACGCUCAUGCACGAAAGCGUGGGGAGCAAACAGGAUUAGAUACCCUGGUAGUCCACGCCCUAAACGAUGUCAACUAGUUGUUGGGGAUUCAUUUCCUUAGUAACGUAGCUAACGCGUGAAGUUGACCGCCUGGGGAGUACGGUCGCAAGAUUAAAACUUAAAUGAAUUGACGGGGUCAUAGCUGUUUCCU
This 584-nucleotide ribosomal RNA is filed under the name uncultured bacterium. RNAcentral describes it as "partial 16S ribosomal RNA". It matches the Rfam family "Bacterial small subunit ribosomal RNA", at positions 355 to 1375 of the family's 1533-position model. The record is from RNAcentral.